UACGUAGGUGGCAAGCGUUGUCCGGAUUUAUUGGGUUUGAAGGGUGCGUAGGCGGCUUUGUAAGUCAGUGGUGAAAUAUGGCAGCUCAACUGUCAAGGUGCCAUUGAUACUGCGGAGCUUGAGUACAGAUGAGGUAGGCGGAAUUGACGGUGUAGCGGUGAAAUGCUUAGAUAUCGUCAAGAACACCUAUAGCGAAGGCAGCUUACUAGGCUGUAACUGACGCUGAGGCACGAAAGUGUGGGGAUCAAACAGG
This 253-nucleotide ribosomal RNA is filed under the name uncultured bacterium. Its description in RNAcentral is "partial 16S ribosomal RNA". It matches the Rfam family "Bacterial small subunit ribosomal RNA", at positions 524 to 776 of the family's 1533-position model. The record is from RNAcentral.